AAUCAAGUUGAGCGGGUCUGCAUCGUUAUUUUGACGAAGUUUGAAACCAGCGGUAAUAUUUUGAUACUUCAUCUAGAUUUAAGAAGAUUCUUGCCUUGACAACUGCUCGAACUCCCGGGUUGGCAUGCUCUAAAGGUAAAGUGAAUUCAGUAUGCAGAUUGUUGAAGGGAAAACAGCAAGACAGGGCGAGGAAGACGACAAAACAUGAUUACCCAGAUUUAAGAUCCCAGUGUUCUUUGUCUCAAGCUACUCAGCCUACCAUGAGAAAAUUAAAAGAUCUGUCAUGAAGAAGAGGCGGGUUCUCAACUUUCAUAUUAUAAAUGGCAA
This is a long non-coding RNA of Saccostrea cuccullata (small rock oyster), 327 nucleotides long. RefSeq lists it as uncharacterized. NCBI's taxonomy places the organism in Eukaryota, Metazoa, Mollusca, Bivalvia, Ostreida, Ostreidae. The transcript is spliced from 3 exons. The record is from RefSeq and is a predicted model, not a curated record.